UACGGAGGGUGCAAGCGUUAUCCGGAUUCACUGGGUUUAAAGGGUGCGUAGGUGGGCAGGUAAGUCAGUGGUGAAAUCUCCGGGCUCAACCCGGAAACUGCCAUUGAUACUAUCAGUCUUGAAUAUCGUGGAGGUAAGCGGAAUAUGUCAUGUAGCGGUGAAAUGCUUAGAUAUGACAUAGAACACCAAUUGCGAAGGCAGCUCGCUACACGAAUAUUGACUCUGAGGCACGAAAGCGUGGGGAUCAAACAGG
RNAcentral lists this ribosomal RNA (253 nucleotides) under uncultured bacterium. Its description in RNAcentral is "partial 16S ribosomal RNA". It matches the Rfam family "Bacterial small subunit ribosomal RNA", at positions 524 to 776 of the family's 1533-position model. The record is from RNAcentral.